GGGGAUGUAAAGGUUUCGACUAGGAAAUCAAGUCUUGGUUGCAUGCAGAGGAUUUCGGUUGGCCUCUUAAAAAAACCGGAAAAACAAUAAAUGUCGCAAAAAACAACGACAACGUAAUUCCUCUUUAUAACGAAGUGGAGCUACAAGCGGCAGCAUAAUAGUUAAUUCUAUUUGCUACCCCAGUAAUUCUUAAUUGGACCAAGGAUGAGAAAUUACUGUUAUUUACUUGGUGUGGAUAAAGUUUCUCGUUCGUCUUUAGGGGGCUUUAUUCGAGAUUAAUGAAGACGUUUUACUUUCAGUGUCGUGUUCUGCAUAGAAAGUAAAUAAUUUUCAGAACACUAAGCAUGUAGUGAUCAUGAUGUAGUUUGCCAAGGACGAGAGUUCGAUUCUCUCCAUCUCCAA
Non-coding RNA from Candidatus Rubidus massiliensis, 402 nucleotides. NCBI's taxonomy places the organism in Bacteria, Pseudomonadati, Chlamydiota, Chlamydiia, Chlamydiales, Chlamydiaceae. The record is from Rfam.